GCUCUGAUCAGUGAGGAAUGAGCGGGCCUUGCUUAGUGUUCUAAGCUUAAAAGUGUUGGUAAAAGUGUGACUGUGUGAGCGAAUGAAUGAUGUAUCCAAUGUAAAGUGCUUUGAGGGUCUCUGAUAAAGCGCUAUAUGAAAUCUGAUGCAUUAUUAUUAUUAUUAUUAUUAUUAAGAUCCCUGAGGUUAAUGCCAGCAAUUUUGCUGCACAUUUUCACAAUAUCAGACAGUCUGUUCUUGUUUUUUAAGGAGAGUAGGCCGUACCAGCAAACAAAAGAGACAGUUAAAACCAGUGGCGGCUGCUGGUCUUUCAAGGAGGGGAAGCUCAUUUUUCUGGCCUACAUCAUAAUUGUAUUUGUUUAUUAGUAUGUAACAGAACAGAGUCGCCAAACACAACGGCAGUCGUUUUUAACAAAGACAGAAGUCGCUGAGGAUCGGUAAAGUCUCCGGAGCAGUUAAGAACAACGGAAUGAAUAACUUGGAAAAUGCUCUGGUAGAUGUUUUAUUCUUCAAGAUCGCUGAUUCGCUUGUUUAGCUGUCAAUCAAAAAAGGAUUUCGCCUCAGACAGCUCAUCCAAUCGUGGAUGCAGAAGCAUGGAGUCCGGGAGAAAGUCGGGACCGCCCUCUCGCCAUAGAACUCCAGUGAAGCUGGGCUUCCGAUUGGCGGGACAAAGCCCAGCAUUUAUCCAAUGAGCGUCUAGUUUCGCUGCUGGAACAACCCACUUUUAGCUUCCACAUUGAAGUCAGCAGAAGCCCAGCGUCCGGCUGUUUAAAGUGCUGAGGCGCUGCGAGGAUGAAUGAGAACGAAGUUAUGCCGGUUACCUGUAAUUAUCAGCUUCUUAUCACAGUGUCUGAACAAAAGAUGAAGGCUUUCUAGUGCGUAUUUAGUUAAUGAAAUGUACACACAGCCGUACGUAUUUCACCACUUUUUCUUUUUUUGGGGGGGUGACAUUUUAAGGGAAGCCGAGCUUCCCUUGCAGUCUCAGAGCAAUCGCCACUGGUUAAAACAGACUCAAUAAAACAGAAAUAAAACAUUUUCAUAAAAGUGCUGUCAACAUUAAAACUCUGCAGUUUCCUGGAAAAGUACAAACGUUGAUGUGCCUUCUUGCAGACAGCAUCAACAUGGAAGUCGAAGGACAGCUUAUCAUCAAUGUUUGUGCCAAGGUAUUUGUAAUUGUGGACUAAUUCCACAACUUGGCCCUCAAUGGCAAGAGGAGGGAUAGCUGAUAAAUGUUUAGGGAAAUCGAUCAGCAUUUCUUUGGUUUUGGUCACACUGAUGGUCAUAAAAGAUGCAGAGCACCAGGCAGUGAAUUCCUUUUUUUGGUUGAGGUUUGUGCGUGGAGACCGCUGUGUAUUGCUAUCAUGCAGUCGUUGCUGAAGUUGGUAUAACUAGAGAAGCAAGCAGUCUGCAACAUUCAGGGAUGUGUGUGUGUGUGUGUGUGUGUGUGUGUGUGUGUGUGUGUGUGUGUGUGUGU
Molecule: non-coding RNA, 1474 nt
Organism: Xyrichtys novacula (pearly razorfish)
Lineage: Eukaryota; Metazoa; Chordata; Actinopteri; Labriformes; Labridae
Source: the annotation of a GenBank genome assembly